GAUGAAGAACGUAGCGAAAUGCGAUAAGUAGUGUGAAUUGCAGAAUUACCUGAAUCAUCGAAUCUUUGAACGCACAUUGCGCCCGCCAGUAUUCUGGCGGGCAUGCCUGUCUGAGCGUCAUUUCAACCCUCAUGCCCCUAGGGCGUGGUGUUGGGGAUCGGCCAAAGCCCGCGAGGGACGGCCGGCCCCUAAAUCUAGUGGCGGACCCGUCGUGGCCUCCUCUGCGAAGUAGUGAUAUUCCGCAUCGGAGAGCGACGAGCCCCUGCCGUUAAACCCCCAACUUUCCAAGGUUGACCUCAGAUCAGGUAGGAAUACCCGCUGAACUUAAGCAUAUCAAUAAGCGGAGGA
Molecule: unclassified non-coding RNA, 348 nt
Filed under: soil metagenome
Description: partial contains 5.8S ribosomal RNA, internal transcribed spacer 2, and large subunit ribosomal RNA
Rfam family: 5.8S ribosomal RNA (bases 1-120)
Source: RNAcentral